Lolium rigidum is the source of this 1429-nucleotide long non-coding RNA. RefSeq lists it as uncharacterized. The transcript has 11 exons. The record is from RefSeq and is a predicted model, not a curated record. NCBI's taxonomy places the organism in Eukaryota, Viridiplantae, Streptophyta, Magnoliopsida, Poales, Poaceae.
CUACGUCCUCCUCCUCCUACAUCUACAGCGACGCCGCUAGGGUUGGGUGUCCCUUCUUCUUGUCCUCUACGACCUUGGGUUGCAAGGAGCCAACCCGGGGAGGACUCGAGGCUCAGUGGCGUUCCUUACGGCCGUCCGGGAUCCCCUCUCCUUCUUCUUUUAAUCCAUCUGGAGAUGAGAUCCACAUCUAAUUUUAUAGAAAUCACGGUUCGAGCUGCUCUGGAAAGGUCUCAACUCAGCUGCGCUUCUUCCUUGCUCAGGCGUUUGUUGAUUUCUCUGAAUAUUGGUUGGACAUUGCCCAUGUAGCACUCACCCAAGUGUGUACUAUGCUAAUAUCUACCACGACAUGACGGGCGGGAGUCCCGGAAGAGGGUGACGGAUGGCCACAGUAGCUCGCAGCAGGACGACGAUGCAUGAGGGCGCACGGAGCAGGGUGGCGCUCGCCUUGAGGAGCUCGUCCAUGAUCCAAUACCCAGACGAUGGAAAGGUCUAUGCAUGGUGAGCUGCUAAAAAAAGGAUUGGUUCCCCUAUGGUGAUGUUGAUCACUUCCUCUGAAUGAUGUUGAUAUAGGUCUUUUUGGUCAUGUCGAACCCUUCUGUUGGAUAUGGAGGACGACAAGCAACUAUCUUCUUGGCCUUCUUGUGGUUUAUUGAAUAGCAGCGUCACUGCAUCGAGUGACCGCCAUUACCUCCGUCAUGAACUUGGAUUGGCAGCUGGUCAUACUCUAUUUGAGUUCAAAUAUUCUGCUUAUGAUGCAGUGAGAUAAUAUGCCAGGUACCCUUCCUGUCGCCGCUGCGCCAGAAUGACACUACCUCCACCAAGCAGCAAGUCAUGCAUGUGCGUGCAGUUCACACGCAAGAAAUUCCAACCAGUGAGUAUGAAGCUUUAGAUUUCAGACACCCAGUUGCUACUACUAUCUAGAGGUUUUGCAUAUGCAUGCAGUUCACAUGCAAGAAAUUCCAACCGGCAGUACCUGGAAGUGUUCUGGCAGCUGUGAAUCGACUGUGAGGUCUUCCUUAGGUACCCCUGCAUUACUACCUUAUCAAUUGGUGUUAGGUCAUGUUCAGAAACUCUCUGAGCCACUACAGUUUGGUUAUCCAGGAGAUUCACAGACAUCGACAACAACCAUCUGUAGUUUAGGAUCGACUUCUUCCUCUCCUCCUAGGAAUGGCUCUCUCUGUUUGGUGGAAUAGGAAGGGAGCAAGUAGGAAACUGUGAAAAUAAUUCAGGUCUGAUCCUCCACAUCAAGCACCAGGCAACAAGGUCACGAGGAUCCUACUACAGAACUAUUCAUGUCCCUGAUACGCUAAUGGUAACUAUUAGUUCUCCAUGUAACUGUACCAUCUGCUAGCAUCUCCCUGGACCUUGUGACGAUAGAAAUCUCCACCGUCCCCACCAUGAGGGCAUCAAGCAAUCAACUCAGGUCACC